GAGUUUGAUCAUGGCUCAGAUUGAACGCUGGCGGCAGGCUUAACACAUGCAAGUCGAGCGGAAACGAUGGUAGCUUGCUACCAGGCGUCGAGCGGCGGACGGGUGAGUAAUACUUAGCGAAUCUACCUAGUAUUGAGGGAUAGCACGGGGAAACUCGUAUUAAUACCGCAUACGUCCUACGGGAGAAAGGGGGCAACUUGUUGCUCUCGCUAUUAGAUGAGCCUAAGUCGGAUUAGCUAGAUGGUGGGGGAAAGGCCUACCAUGGCGACGAUCUGUAGCUGGUCUGAGAGGAUGAUCAGCCACACCGGGACUGAGACACGGCCCGGACUCCUACGGGAGGCAGCAGUGGGGAAUAUUGGACAAUGGGGGAAACCCUGAUCCAGCCAUGCCGCGUGUGUGAAGAAGGCCUUUUGGUUGUAAAGCACUUUAAGCAGUGAAGAAUACUCUUCGGUUAGUACCCGGAGACGAUGACAUUAGCUGCAGAAUAAGCACCGGCUAACUCUGUGCCAGCAGCCGCGGUAAUACAGAGGGUGCAAGCGUUAAUCGGAAUUACUGGGCGUAAAGCGAGCGUAGGUGGCUUGAUAAGUCAGAUGUGAAAUCCCCGGGCUUAACCUGGGAACUGCAUCUGAAACUGUUAGGCUAGAGUAGGUGAGAGGGAAGUAGAAUUUCAGGUGUAGCGGUGAAAUGCGUAGAGAUCUGAAGGAAUACCGAUGGCGAAGGCAGCUUCCUGGCAUCAUACUGACACUGAGGCUCGAAAGCGUGGGUAGCAAACAGGAUUAGAUACCCUGGUAGUCCACGCCGUAAACGAUGUCUACUAGUCGUUGGGUCCCUUGAGGACUUAGUGACGCAGCUAACGCAAUAAGUAGACCGCCUGGGGAGUACGGCCGCAAGGUUAAAACUCAAAUGAAUUGACGGGGGCCCGCACAAGCGGUGGAGCAUGUGGUUUAAUUCGAUGCAACGCGAAGAACCUUACCUGGUCUUGACAUACACAGAAUCUUGUAGAGAUACGAGAGUGCCUUCGGGAAUUGUGAUACAGGUGCUGCAUGGCUGUCGUCAGCUCGUGUCGUGAGAUGUUGGGUUAAGUCCCGCAACGAGCGCAACCCUUGUCCUUAGUUACCAGCGGGUUAAGCCGGGAACUCUAAGGAUACUGCCAGUGACAAACUGGAGGAAGGCGGGGACGACGUCAAGUCAUCAUGGCCCUUACGACCAGGGCUACACACGUGCUACAAUGGUAGGUACAGAGGGCAGCUACACAGCGAUGUGAUGCGAAUCUCAAAAAGCCUAUCGUAGUCCAGAUUGGAGUCUGCAACUCGACUCCAUGAAGUAGGAAUCGCUAGUAAUC
Molecule: ribosomal RNA, 1342 nt
Filed under: unidentified marine bacterioplankton
Lineage: Bacteria
Description: bacterial SSU rRNA
Rfam family: Bacterial small subunit ribosomal RNA
Source: RNAcentral